AGAACGAACGCUGGCGGCAUGCCUAAUACAUGCAAGUCGAACGAACACUUCGGUGUUAGUGGCGCACGGGUGCGUAACGCGUGGGAAUCUGCCCUUGGGUUCGGAAUAACAGUUGGAAACGACUGCUAAUACCGGAUGAUGACGAAAGUCCAAAGAUUUAUCGCCCAGGGAUGAGCCCGCGUAGGAUUAGCUAGUUGGUGAGGUAAAGGCUCACCAAGGCGACGAUCCUUAGCUGGUCUGAGAGGAUGAUCAGCCACACUGGGACUGAGACACGGCCCAGACUCCUACGGGAGGCAGCAGUAGGGAAUAUUGGACAAUGGGCGCAAGCCUGAUCCAGCAAUGCCGCGUGAGUGAUGAAGGCCUUAGGGUUGUAAAGCUACUUUUACCCGAGAUGAUAAUGACAGUAUCGGAGAAUAAGCCCCGGACUAACCUCCGUGCCAGCAGCCGC
Molecule: ribosomal RNA, 448 nt
Filed under: uncultured soil bacterium
Lineage: Bacteria
Description: bacterial SSU rRNA
Rfam family: Bacterial small subunit ribosomal RNA
Source: RNAcentral